This 637-nucleotide long non-coding RNA is filed under the name Nicotiana benthamiana. RNAcentral describes it as "long non-coding RNA (NBEN_LNC009507)". The record is from RNAcentral. Lineage: Eukaryota; Viridiplantae; Streptophyta; Magnoliopsida; Solanales; Solanaceae.
GACAUCUAAUUUGCUUUAAAGAUUCUAUCAUUUAUUAUUUGAGUUUUGACAGAGAAGUUCGUUGAUUUUAAAUAAUAAUGUGAUAUUUGCUCAAUAAAGAUCCGAAACAAUCAUGAUGCACUGUAAUGUAAUUGUUCAUUGUAUAUUUUGUGUUAAAGGAUAUGCCUCUAUAUAUUCUUAUAAAUUUUAGUUUAAUUAUAAGAAUUAUGUUCCAAAUGGGGCUAUAUAGGCAUCUGAUUAUACUUCGUGUUCCGAGCUUGAGAAUCUAAUCAACUUUUAUUUAAGAUGUUGAGUAUCCUUUUAUGUGAUAGUACUUGGGAGUUAGUCGAUUAAUCAAUAUAUUUUAUUAAACUGGAUCUUUUUCACAUUACGAUAAGAUGUCAAUUUUGAGUAUCCUUUUAUGUGAUAGUACUUGGGAAACCAAUAUAUUCUAUUAAACUGGACCUUUUUCCGCAAGGCAUGUUAGUCGACUAUCCGAUUUAGUUAAUCGACUAACCUAAUGACAGUUGCCUAAGUUAAUCGCACUUUAGUUAAUCGAUUAACCUUAUGUUCGUUGCCUGUUCAUCGACUAGUCUUUUUUUAACGUUGAAACAGGUUAGUCGAUUAUCUAUUUGGUUAAUCGACUAACCUCAGCAGA